RNAcentral lists this ribosomal RNA (484 nucleotides) under uncultured bacterium. RNAcentral's name for it is "partial 16S ribosomal RNA". It matches the Rfam family "Bacterial small subunit ribosomal RNA", at positions 30 to 507 of the family's 1533-position model. The record is from RNAcentral.
AUUGAACGCUGGCGGCAGGCCUAACACAUGCAAGUCGAGCGGAUGAAGGGAGCUUGCUCCUGGAUUCAGCGGCGGACGGGUGAGUAAUGCCUAGGAAUCUGCCUGGUAGUGGGGGAUAACGUCCGGAAACGGGCGCUAAUACCGCAUACGUCCUGAGGGAGAAAGUGGGGGAUCUUCGGACCUCACGCUAUCAGAUGAGCCUAGGUCGGAUUAGCUAGUUGGUGGGGUAAAGGCCUACCAAGGCGACGAUCCGUAACUGGUCUGAGAGGAUGAUCAGUCACACUGGAACUGAGACUCGGUCCCGACUCCUACGGGAGGCAGCAGUGGGGAAUAUUGGACAAUGGGCGAAAGCCUGAUCCAGCCAUGCCGCGUGUGUGAAGAAGGUCUUCGGAUUGUAAAGCACUUUAAGUUGGGAGGAAGGGCAGUAAGUUAAUACCUUGCUGUUUUGACGUUACCAACAGAAUAAGCACCGGCUAACUUCGUG